This 468-nucleotide ribosomal RNA is filed under the name uncultured bacterium. Its description in RNAcentral is "partial 16S ribosomal RNA". It matches the Rfam family "Bacterial small subunit ribosomal RNA", at positions 28 to 507 of the family's 1533-position model. The record is from RNAcentral.
GACGAACGCUGGCGGCGUGCUUAACACAUGCAAGUCGAACGGAAAGGCCCUGCUUUUGUGGGGUGCUCGAGUGGCGAACGGGUGAGUAACACGUGAGUAACCUGCCCUUGACUUUGGGAUAACUUCAGGAAACUGGGGCUAAUACCGGAUAGGAGCUCCUGCUGCAUGGUGGGGGUUGGAAAGUUUCGGCGGUUGGGGAUGGACUCGCGGCUUAUCAGCUUGUUGGUGGGGUAGUGGCUUACCAAGGCUUUGACGGGUAGCCGGCCUGAGAGGGUGACCGGCCUCAUGGGGACUGAGAUACGGCCCAGUCGCGUACGGGAGGCAGUAGGGGGGAAUAUUGCACAGUGGGCGGGAGCCUGAUGCAGAAACGCCGCGGGCGGGAUGACGGCCUUCGGGUUGUAAACCGCUUUCGCCUGUGACGAAGCGGGAGUGACGGUAAUGGGUAAAGAAGCACCGGCUAACUACGUG